GGUUUCCUGGGCAAGGCUAAUCCUCCCAGGGUCAGUCGGGGGCUAAGGCGAGGCCGGUAGGCGUAGCCGACGCGCAGCAGGCAGACAUUCCUGCACCGCGCACGCGGCGCUACGACCGACGGGGCGACGGAUGGGGGUGGCUCGGCGGGGUUCUGGACGUCCCCGUGAUGGAGCGCGGCCCGCGGACCAGGGAAAUCCGGUCCGCACGAGGGCGAGGCUCCGGACGAAGCACUUAAGCGAAGCGAGUGAGCCCGAGGUCCCUAGAAAAACCCCUAGGCAGGCGCGUGCGCGCCCGUACCGCAAACCGACACAGGUGGGUGGGUAGAACAUACCGAGGCGAUCGGGUCAACCAUGGUCAAGGAACUCGGCACAAUGGCCCCGUAACUUCGGGAGAAGGGGUGCCCGCGCGUACGUGAACGGACUUGCUCCGGGAGCGGAGGCGGGCCGCAGUGGAGAGGCCCAAGCGACUGUUUACCAAAAACACAGGACUCUGCAGAAGCCGCAAGGCGACGUAUAGGGUCUGACGCCUGCCCGGUGCCGGAAGGUCACGCGGAGGAGUUAGCCGCAAGGCGAAGCCCUGAAGCCAAGCCCCAGUAAACGGCGGCCGUAACUAUAACGGUCCUAAGGUAGCGAAAUUCCUUGUCGGGUAAGUUCCGACCUGCACGAAAGGCGCAACGACUUGGGCGCUGUCUCGACCAUGGACCCGGUGAAAUUGCACUGGUCGUGAAGAUGCGACUUACCCGCGGAAGGACGGAAAGACCCCGUGAACCUUCACUGCAGCUUGGCAUUGGCCGCUGGUCCCGCGUGUAGAGGAUAGGCAGGAGGCACAGAUCCGGAGGCGCCAGCCCCCGGGGAGCCGCCCUUGGAAUACUGCCCUCGCGCGACCGGCGUCCUAACCCGAGGCCGUCAACCGGCUCGGGGACCGUGCCAGGCGGGCAGUUUGACUGGGGCGGUCGCCUCCUAAAGGGUAACGGAGGCGCGCGAAGGUCCGCUCGGGACGGUCGGCAACCGUCCUUUUGAAUGCAAGAGUACAAGCGGGCUUGACUGCGAGGCCCACAAGCCGAGCAGGUGCGAAAGCAGGCUCUAGUGAUCCGGCGGCCCCGAGUGGGUGGGCCGUCGCUCAACGGAUAAAAGGUACUCCGGGGAUAACAGG
Molecule: ribosomal RNA, 1153 nt
Filed under: human gut metagenome
Description: bacterial LSU rRNA
Rfam family: Bacterial large subunit ribosomal RNA
Source: RNAcentral